This 487-nucleotide long non-coding RNA is filed under the name Drosophila guanche. Lineage: Eukaryota; Metazoa; Arthropoda; Insecta; Diptera; Drosophilidae. The record is from RNAcentral.
GAGCGAGCAAUGGGUGGCAGGCAGGCAGAUACAACAGACCGAACCGAAGCCAACAGAAAGGAAACAAAAAAUAGCUAAAAAGAAACAGACAGUGGAAAUAAAGAAAUUAAAGUGCCAUUGCCCGACCCGACCCCCUGCUGCAGGGAAGAGGUUGCUGGAUUUUUUUAGAAGAGCCUAUAAAAACAAUUUAGUAAGCAAUAAAAAUGCUGAAAAUAGCUUCAAAUUGAAUUUCAGCAAGAGCAUGCAACGUUAUUUUAUCUAUCGAUAAAGGCUAAGAUACUCGAAUGAGUAGAGGAAAGGAAAGGCAAGUGUGUGUGUUGAUAGAGGGGAGUUGGCCAAUUGCCUGGGUGCCUGCCAACACCCACGGCUCUGCUCAGGAAACAUCAAAAAGCGAGGCCAUUAAAGGAUUCCCUUUUUUUCCCACAUUCGUGGGGCAACCCUUUCACGCACUUACGCAGCUUGAGAACAAACAUUGGCAGAAAGGGUG